AAUGAACGCUGGCGGCGUGCUUAACACAUGCAAGUCGAGCGAGAAAAUCGACUUCGGUCGAUGAGUAAAGCGGCGAACGGGUGAGUAACACGUGGGUAACCUGCCCUGGAUGGGGGAUAACCUGGGGAAACUCGGGCUAAUACCGCAUACACCUCAGCACUGCGGUGCUGAGAGGAAAGCUGGCCAAUUCUUGAAAGCUGGCGCUCCUGGAGGGGCCCGCGCCCGAUUAGCUUGUUGGUGAGGUAACGGCUCACCAAGGCGGUGAUCGGUAGCCGGCCUGAGAGGGUGAUCGGCCACACUGGGACUGAGACACGGCCCAGACUCCUACGGGAGGCGGCAGUGGGGAAUAUUGGACAAUGGGCGCAAGCCUGAUCCAGCAACGCCGCGUGGAGGACGAAGGCCUUCGGGUCGUAAACUCCUGUCAGUUGGGACGAAAAGUCGUCGGUCAAUAGCCGGCGAUCAUGACGGUACCAGCAGAGGAAGCCCCGGCUAACUCCGUG
RNAcentral lists this ribosomal RNA (500 nucleotides) under uncultured bacterium. RNAcentral describes it as "bacterial SSU rRNA". It matches the Rfam family "Bacterial small subunit ribosomal RNA", at positions 29 to 507 of the family's 1533-position model. The record is from RNAcentral.